RNAcentral lists this transfer RNA (68 nucleotides) under Gekko auriverrucosus. RNAcentral describes it as "tRNA-Ala". The record is from RNAcentral. Lineage: Eukaryota; Metazoa; Chordata; Lepidosauria; Squamata; Gekkonidae.
AAGGCAUGUGUAACCUUAAAACACAUCUACUGAUUGCAACUCAGACACUUUAAUUAAGCUAAUACCUC